Molecule: ribosomal RNA, 163 nt
Filed under: Mastigoteuthis sp. 186_WH383
Lineage: Eukaryota; Metazoa; Mollusca; Cephalopoda; Oegopsida; Mastigoteuthidae
Description: partial small subunit ribosomal RNA
Source: RNAcentral
CUGAGACCGAUGCGCGAUUUCCGUCCUCUCGUCUCGGGUUUCGGCUCGUUUCGGGGCUAAAGGCCGGCGCGCUCCGCUUUGGUGACUCUGGAUAACUCACUGGUCGAUCGCACGGGCUUCCACGCCCGGCGACGGGUCCCCCGAGGGUCCGCCCUAUCAACUG